GGUGUAGGCGGCCUUUCAAGUCGGAUGUGAAAUCUCCCAGCUUAACUGGGAGCGGUCAUUCGAUACUGUUGGGCUGGAGGGCAUCAGAGGGAAGCGGAACUCCCGGUGUAGUGGUGGAAUGCGUAGAUAUCGGGAGGAACACCAGUGGCGAAGGCGGCUUCCUGGGGUGUACCUGACGCUGUGGCCCGAUGGCGUGGGGAGCAAACA
Molecule: ribosomal RNA, 207 nt
Filed under: uncultured bacterium
Lineage: Bacteria
Description: partial 16S ribosomal RNA
Rfam family: Bacterial small subunit ribosomal RNA
Source: RNAcentral